Bubalus bubalis (water buffalo) is the source of this 1472-nucleotide long non-coding RNA. RefSeq lists it as uncharacterized. The record is from RefSeq and is a predicted model, not a curated record. NCBI's taxonomy places the organism in Eukaryota, Metazoa, Chordata, Mammalia, Artiodactyla, Bovidae. The transcript has 2 exons.
UGGUGACAGUGAAGCUGGAGGAAGACCACCCCCGGAAUCAGGGUCUCAGCCUUCCAGAGACCCAGCCUCCUGCCUGGGAGAUCUUCAGGCAGCAGUUUAGGCACUUCUGCUACCAGGAUUCCCCUGGACCCCGGCUGGCCCUGAGCCAGCUCCAUCCAGCUCUGCCAUCAGUGGCUCAGACCAGAGACACACACCAAGGAGAUCCUGGACCUGCUGGUGCUGGAGCAGUUCCUGUCCAUCCUGCCCCAGGAGUUCCAGGUCCCAGUUCGGGAGCAUCAUCCAGAGAGUGGGGAAGAGGCAGUGACCAUACUGGAGAACCUGGAAAGAAAGAGAAAUGUUUCAGCUUGUUCUCUGGAACAGAAGAUACUUUUGCAGACAAUGACCCUUCAAACACUAGAUGAAGAAUCUUCAUAUACCCGAGCUCAGCCCCUAGCAGUCCAGUUCAAGGGCGAAAGACCUGAGCCCCAACCAUCAGAGGAAACAGAUGAGGCAAGAAUUUCUCUAGGAAAUUUGGAGUGAAAUGAUUUUUUGGUGAAGUAUGACAUGUUAAUUCCUUGUAAUGAGAGUUGUUGAAGGACAUGACAAAGCUGACAUUUUAGGUAAUAAUGAUUAAAAGGUGAUAAGUCAUCUCAGAACAGCUUCUGUAGUAUGUUAAUUUUAAAUAUCUGUAGUUGAAUUUUCUGCAGAUCGUCUGUAGCAAGUGUUACUUUCAAGUAUUUUGAUGCUUACAUCCUUAAGUAGACUCUGAUAUUACAUUAACAUUGUAAAACUAUAUUGACUUUUUUGAAAGUUACCUCUUAUUAUUACCAGAGAAGUAUAUAUGCAUUGUAGAAAGUUAGAAAAUACAGUUGCACAAUAAGAAAACAAGCAUAAUAUUCUAUCAUCCAGAGAUUACAGUGACUUUUUAUUAUAUAUUUGAAUAUCUUUUAUGUGCAUGUAUGUGUAUACACACAUUCCUUUCACUGAAAAGAGAUCAUUUCUAUGUGCUAUUUUGUAAUCUAUUUUGUUCAGUUAAUAAUCUUCCCUUUUCCCUGGCAAUACAUUUUAAUGUUAUCUAAACUCAAUGCAAAUUCAGAUUGGUCCAUUUUUUCCAAAAUGUCUUUAAAGCUGAUUUGUGCAAACCAGGAUAGAAUCCAUGGCUGUGUGAGACAUCUGGUUGUUGUGCCUUUUAAUUCUCUUUUACUUUAGAACAGUUUCUCUUUCCCAUUUUCCCUUUCAUGGCCCAGACAUUUUCAUGACCCUGGGCAAAUUUCUUACUCUGUGAAGCUUUCUGAUUGCUUCUUCAUGGAAUCAUUUAUUUUGCUGCCCAUGUAUGCUGUAUGUCCUUAAAAUGGAAAAAAGAUUGAAAGACAUGGCAAUAUGAUCCCUCCAUUGAACAGCUAAUUUUUCCCCUUUAUAACUGUGUGGUGUCACUUUGGCAGUAUGUGAUUGGCUCGUUUCCCAGCAACAAAAUACAAAAUGUUUGAGAAUUC